This 191-nucleotide non-coding RNA is filed under the name Acidobacteriota bacterium. RNAcentral describes it as "Acidobacteria bacterium (rhizosphere metagenome) 6S RNA". It matches the Rfam family "6S / SsrS RNA". From Rfam's summary of the family: E. coli 6S RNA was the first non coding RNA to be sequenced, but its function was unknown until recently. The record is from RNAcentral. Lineage: Bacteria; Pseudomonadati; Acidobacteriota.
GCCGGCCUGCAAAGUUGGUGCGGGCGGUACCCAUCAUUUGAACCAACAUUCAAAUGAAAGGGAGCCUGACUCGAUAUGGCCUGGUGUGCAACGCUCCGCCACGCGGAGAUGCCUGAAGGGCCUCGGAGGGUUCCCCCUUGUCUCAGGACAAGGUUCAAUGGUGGCCUGCCUCACGGCCCCGCGGGUCGGCU